CUUGCCCCUUCACGUCUCCAAAUGGGCCAAGCCUCAGCGAAAAAAAAAACAAGACCAGACCAUCGAUGGAUCUCAUCUCCAGUUUCUUCCUCCCCAAAUCGCGCCGCCAGCCCUUCCAUUCUCCCAAUCCCGCCGCCGCCAUGCUCUACAAGAACAUCCACCUCGCAAGUUCUCCCCUACCGUCACCCAGAGAUGAGCUGUUGGAGUCAGAUGCCUCUCCUAAUCGUGCCGCCAGCCCUGCUCCUCGCAAUCGCACCACCACGAUCCCGUACAAGCACAUCCGCCCCAUACCAAGCCAGUGAGAUCUGGAAGUCAGGGACGACGGUGAGCAAAUCCUCGGCGGUAAUCGUUGGCCUCCAAUGUUUCUUGAUUCAAAUGAAUCAUUGGCCUCCAUUGUUUCUCAGCACCCAAGAUAUGGAUUUAAGAAGAGAUCAAGGAGGAGAGACGACUUUCUAUUUUUCUAUGUCCUCACGCGCACAACAGUCAUACUGCCAAAGGGGUGGACAAAGUUGGUUUGACUUUGGUAUCUAUGUACCCGAUAGCUGGGCAUCAAGAAUCUGGAGAAUCCAUCACCUAGCUUAGCCACUGUUGUCUAAAAAGCGCCAACAUAGAGCUGCUUUGAUGAUACUGCCCGUACUGAUCGAUAACCCAGCGCCUAAGGGAGCCGGAGCACGCCAAUCGUCAAUUGGCAGAUACGGCCGCGGAUGGCAGGGAGGAAGGGGAUAGGGCGAGGCCAUUGCCGCUCGAUGAAUCGUUGGUGGAGAAUUAGCCGGGCCACACCCCACAACCAUGAGAAUUUCAAGCACUCUGAUACUUCAUCAGCUAGGUGGAGUAGAGACCUGAUCCUGCAAUCCGGGGGAUGAGAAAGAGUUGCAUAUGGAUAAAAUGGAUGGAAAGAACUAGAGUGACCACAAGAUAUCUCAACAUAUUAUUCUUGAUCUACCGGGGCUUGCAUUCUGCGGGGACUAUACAAUGUUGGAACUUUAUGAGGAUGACAUAUCUUAUCAUGCGCAUGGUCUAGACUUUAUGGCAUGAGAUCAGCACGUUAUUCCCUAUUCUCCCACUACGUCAAGCCUUUCAGCGUUCCUUUGGUCGCAUCAUCGUCGUGCUUCGUCGUCCACGUGGGCCAGCACAAUUAAAACCUGCGCGUCUCUCUAAGUAUAGGUAGUUGAGAACCACCUGUUAUUUGGGUUUCUUCUCUCUGAGUGCAUCAAACCAGCCCUUAUCGGACAUUCAAGUUCGUUUGCCUAGAUCAUAUUGCGUGAACUCCCAAAGACAUACCUGAAGCUUCAGCAAGAAAAUUUUCAUACUCUAGCAACAACUUUCUUUCUUGCAACCUGAAACACUCUGGGGGGGGACAAAAAUUUCAGAAGCCACGCAUCUCGGUGGAGGAAAAUUUCCAGAAGCCAAAUUGUGCAAUAUCAUAGGCGAGUUCAACAGCAGUCCGUUGCAACACCAUAGAGGAUUUGAAUGGAAACAAAUAUUGGUUAUCCUUUUUUGUACUCUUGCCAUGUGAGAACUGCAUAAUGAUUUUCAGAAUGAGUCGAGUUCUUGCACUGCCACUCUGGUGAGUCCACUCACAACCAACAUGUUUCCGUCCGAUUCCCAUUUGGAAGUGAGUGUUUUCUUGUCUUUGCGAUUCAUUUGUUUAGAAAGCUGAUGGAUCAUCUAGGAUAUACAAAAUUCUGGACAGCCAUCUCGAUAUGACCAUGAGAAACUUGCAGGCACAAUUUUAAUCAAAUCAAUAUCCAAUGCAUUUUUGUUGGUACAAAAGAGCUAUUUGAUGAACUAUUGUCAGGCUUUUAGCCUGGAAAGAUAGGUUCUCACAAUUUUUAUUGAGAGUAGAUUGUGUGAUAACUGAUGUUAUUUUCAGCUGGACCAUUGUUUAAACUUCAUGCUGCAGUUCAGGUACUGCAUUGAAAUAUCAAUUGAUUUAAUCUCUUGUGUUGAAAAAAUAGAGAUGCAUUGCUACAUAUUGGUAUCCUACUGCCUACGGGUAGGCGUUUAUAAAGAAAUACAAGAAGGGUUACAAAAUUACAAUAUGAUGUAAAUUCUGAUCGCGCAAACAUUUGCAAAUAUAUUCCAAUAUGAUGUAAAUUCUACAGAUAUUUGAGAACGUAAUACUUUUAUAAGUGUUACAAAAAUAUCAAAAUAUUUGCAAGCAAUAUAUGUGUGCACAUUGUAGAAUCAUUACAAAAGAGGUAGACAUCAGCUCAAGGGACCUGUUUUGGCUCCACAUAAUUUGGCAAUAAAUAACGACAACAAUGGGCUUCUUUUGGCUCGACACAAUGUCAAAAUAUUUUGCAAGUUUGAUUUCUCACCUACAAUUUAAAACCUAUAGCCGUUACAUGUUUGUUUUCCUUUUGCUGGCAAGAUGGGAUUACUGUGACAUCUCAAACAUGUGCAUCAGCAUAUGCCGAACACAAUGACUGACCAUAAUGCAAAUUAUUAAGUAGCUUAUAUUCUGCUCGCAGUUGGACUGUACUGGAUUCAACUUGCAAGAGAAAACACACCUUCGUUAGUUGUAAAAAAAACACACCUUCGUUCCUUGUACAUACAAUGUUAGUAUGAUAUAAAAUUUUCUUAUGAUAUAAAAUUUUCUUAUGUAGACUACAAUUUGUGUCAACACUAUGAUUGCCCUCCGAUAAAAAGUUAUAGCACAAUUGGAACCAACCAGAAUAGUAUUAGCAUAUGAUUCUACAUCAUAUGGCCGCCAUGAAUUUAUCUCUCAUUAGCUUUAUGACUCUUUCAUUUGUCUUUGACUCCUGCACAGUUCACUGAUGGACUAAAAGGGGAGGAGCAUCGCGAGGCUUCGCGUGAGGGACAUGAGGAGUGGGACAAGUUUGUCGUUGGUGAGGACAUGCGGCUUGUGGCGAUGAGGGGUGGGGGCGAGAUGCUGGGAAGAGAGGAGCGGGAGGCAGGGGAAAUUAGGCGGCGGUGGAGGCCGUUCGGUGUCAUUGGCAGUAGGAGACGGCGAUCCGGUGGCGCUCAAUAGGCAUGUGUGCGCGUUGAGGCAAAGAGAACCAGUGAAUCUCGUUGACCCUUUAUUUAUCUCUCUCUGACUUCUCCGGCUGCUCAGUACUAGAUUUUUCUACACCCGCCAGCGCUGAGGCAAGACGCAUGCAACAUGCCUGUAAUCGAUGGGACGUACCGUAUCAAGAUUUUUCUACACCAGUCCAACCAUAUUUUUAUUUCAUUUCAUUCCAUAUUUAUUCUGAAGAUUAUUUUAGGAUUGCUUUGACAGACCGGGUUGUUUCUUAGAUCUUCUCAAUCAGGCAUAAUAUGUAGUCACCUCUUAUUUGUUGUUACUAGACGUAUGUACAAGAUUUGAGUUGGAUAGUAUUACAUCAUUUUAGUUGUGUGAUAAACAAA
Molecule: long non-coding RNA, 3372 nt
Organism: Lolium perenne
Lineage: Eukaryota; Viridiplantae; Streptophyta; Magnoliopsida; Poales; Poaceae
Source: RefSeq, a predicted model, not a curated record